Molecule: ribosomal RNA, 468 nt
Filed under: uncultured bacterium
Lineage: Bacteria
Description: partial 16S ribosomal RNA
Rfam family: Bacterial small subunit ribosomal RNA
Source: RNAcentral
GACGAACGCUGGCGGCGUGCUUAACACAUGCAAGUCGAACGGAAAGGCCCUGCUUUUGUGGGGUGCUCGAGUGGCGAACGGGUGAGUAACACGUGAGUAACCUGCCCUUGACUUUGGGAUAACUUCAGGAAACUGGGGCUAAUACCGGAUAGGAGCUCCUGCUGCAUGGUGGGGGUUGGAAAGUUUCGGCGGUUGGGGAUGGACUCGCGGCUUAUCAGCUUGUUGGUGGGGUAGUGGCUUACCAAGGCUUUGACGGGUAGCCGGCCUGAGAGGGUGACCGGCCACAUUGGGACUGAGAUACGGCCAAGACUCCUACGGGAGGCAGCAGUGGGGAAUAUUGCACAAUGGGCGGAAGCCUGAUGCAGCAACGCCGCGGGCGGGAUGACGGCCUUCGGGUUGUAAACCGCUUUCGCCUGUGACGAAGCGUGAGUGACGGUAAUGGGUAAAGAAGCACCGGCUAACUACGUG